This is a long non-coding RNA of Fukomys damarensis (Damara mole-rat), 559 nucleotides long. RefSeq lists it as uncharacterized. Lineage: Eukaryota; Metazoa; Chordata; Mammalia; Rodentia; Bathyergidae. The transcript is spliced from 3 exons. The record is from RefSeq and is a predicted model, not a curated record.
UGCUUUUUUGUGACAGACUGAUAAAUGGCUGACAGGGAGAACAGGAAGCUGAGAACAUGUUGACGUGUAGAGCUUACUUUUUAAUAGGGAACUGAGGCCCACGCAAGUCAAAGAAAUGGAUUUGACAUCUGAGGAGCUCUAAGUGCAUGCUGGGAAUGGCAAGGCAUGAUGGGAUAUGGCAGCAGUAAAACAGGGGCUGCUCCAAGCCCUCUGGGGUCCCUCUCCUGGAGAAGACCCAGAGCAGCCUCUAUAGGAGGGGCUGCAGUAGGGGAGACACCUCACCAGGGCCUCUCUCUGAAUGUCAGGCUGAACUGACAAGGACACACAGAAGCCCAGAGGAAUAAAGAGCUUUUAGAACCCAUCUUCCUUAGAGAGAGAGAGAGAACUGGCCCUAAAAAAUGCACCUGAAUCCUUCCCUUGCUUUGCUAGACACGGACUGUCUCAAUCAAGCACAGAGGAAGACAGACAGAUGGUGUUACUGUCACACAGGGGACCCUAGAGGAUGUCAUAUAUUUCAGAAAGUCCACUACACUGCCGGCCCUCGGAGAAGAAACUGAAA